UAGUCAUAUGCUUGUCUAAAAGAUUAAGCCAUGCAUGUUCAAGUAUAAGCUUUUAUAUAGUGAAACUGCGAAUGGCUCAUUAAAUCAGUUAUAGUUUAUUUGAUAGUCGAAUGCUACAUGGAUAACCGUGGUAAUUCUAGAGCUAAUACAUGCAUCAACAUCCGAAAGGAUGGCGUUUAUUAGAUAAAAGCCAACACGUUGGUGAUUCAUAGUAACGAGGCGGAUCCCAAUGGGACAGAUCAUUCAAAUUUCUGCCCUAUCAACUGACGAUGGGAGG
RNAcentral lists this ribosomal RNA (277 nucleotides) under uncultured eukaryote. RNAcentral describes it as "partial 18S ribosomal RNA". It matches the Rfam family "Eukaryotic small subunit ribosomal RNA", at positions 21 to 332 of the family's 1831-position model. The record is from RNAcentral.